GAAUUGACUCGAUUCGAUUUGAUUUUUCAAUUUAAACCGAAUUUUGCUCGGCCGUACAUACCAGAGCAGAAAAUUAAGGCAGGAAAUGAAAAUAGAGCGGCUAAACUAAUAAGUGGGCUUUCCCUCUCUUUUCUAUCUAUACAGAGGAGGAAGCAAUUACAUUUCUCCGAUCAGAUUCAGAUUAGUGAAAACACAGGCAAGCCAAAAGACCCAUAUGCAGAAAAUAGGUCCAGAAAAAAACAAGAAACCCAAAAAAA
RNAcentral lists this unclassified non-coding RNA (257 nucleotides) under Hevea brasiliensis (rubber tree). The record is from RNAcentral. Lineage: Eukaryota; Viridiplantae; Streptophyta; Magnoliopsida; Malpighiales; Euphorbiaceae.